This 103-nucleotide small nuclear RNA is filed under the name Macaca fascicularis (crab-eating macaque). Lineage: Eukaryota; Metazoa; Chordata; Mammalia; Primates; Cercopithecidae. The record is from RNAcentral.
GUGCUUUGGCAGCACAUUUACUAAAACUGGAAUGAUACAGAGAAGAUUAGUGUGGUCCCUGUACAAGGAUGACAUGCAAAUUCAUGAAGUGCUCCAUAUUUAA